RNAcentral lists this ribosomal RNA (1026 nucleotides) under Triticum aestivum (bread wheat). RNAcentral's name for it is "partial small subunit ribosomal RNA". Lineage: Eukaryota; Viridiplantae; Streptophyta; Magnoliopsida; Poales; Poaceae. The record is from RNAcentral.
AUGUACAAAUCUAGUACUGGUUGCAAGAUGAGCAGUCCUUGGAGUAAGAGGGGUGACAUUGCUGCUGCCGCAAACGAACAAGACAAUCAUUUCUUCAAGGUCAUGAUUGGUGAUUUCCGUGAUCGAAUGAUAAUACCAGACAAAUUUGUGAAGAAAUUUAGGAGGCAAAUAACAAGAACCGUGAAGCUCGAAUCCCGCAAUGGAAAUACCUUUGAUGUUCAUGUUACAGAGGACUUGCACAAACUGGUCCUCCAGUCUGGAUGGGAGGAGUUUGUAAGUGCUCAUGGCAUAAGCAUGGGUGAUUUCCUGGUAUUCAACUAUGACGGGAACUCCUGGUUUAAGGUUCUAAUAUUUGAGCCGAGUGGUUGCGAGAGACUGUCUUCAAGCUUCCUCCCGAUGGAAACUGCUCCCUAUGAGGGCCAAGAGUGGGGAGAAAAACUCACUGGAACCUUGAGCAUGCGUCAUGAUCUUCCCAUGAUCAGAUCACCACAAAGUGAAAGGGGAACUAUGAUAGUACAAUGGGAUAACUCAAACCAUGGGGAAAAUAGCAUGGUUCUUGGUUCAUCAAGCGCUCCAUCGUCCGAGUCAUCAGGUUGUAUCUCAUCUUCAGAAGAUGAUCUGCAAGCGCAUCCUGCACGGAGGCUGAUCCUACUACGAGGAACUUGUCCUACUGGUUCUCAAAAGAAGAAGCUGAAAGUCAAGAUCCGAGAUAUUUACUCUGAAAUUCCCAUCGUUGGGUGCACCAUAAGGAAGAGCAGUAUUCAUGGAAAACCUUAUACGUUGGAAAUAUGCAGAGAAUAUGCUGAGGUUUACCUUCCAUUUGAGGACGAAACAAUUGAGCUUCGACGCCAUGGCAAGAUCUGGAAGGUGCGGUGUUGCAUUAGUCAGUACGGUAGUAAAAGGCUCUUGAAAGGGUGGAGACAGUUUGUGUGUGGGAACAAUUUGAGGCUGGGAGAUAUCUGCCUCUUCAAGCUACUGAAGAACAAGAAGUACACUAUGGAUGUUUAUAUCAUUCGCAAAGAAUGA